RNAcentral lists this ribosomal RNA (301 nucleotides) under uncultured bacterium. Its description in RNAcentral is "partial 16S ribosomal RNA". It matches the Rfam family "Bacterial small subunit ribosomal RNA", at positions 509 to 807 of the family's 1533-position model. The record is from RNAcentral.
CAGCCGCCGCGGGAAUACGAAGGGGGCUAGCGUUGCUCGGAAUGACUGGGCGUAAAGGGCGCGUAGGCGGAUUGCGCAGUCAGAUGUGAAAUUCCUGGGCUUAACCUGGGGGCUGCAUUUGAGACGCGUAGUCUAGAGUGUGAAAGAGGGUCGUGGAAUUCCCAGUGUAGAGGUGAAAUUCGUAGAUAUUGGGAAGAACACCGGUGGCGAAGGCGGCGACCUGGUUCAUAACUGACGCUGAGGCGCGAAAGCGUGGGGAGCAAACAGGAUUAGAUACCCGCGUAGUCCCUGUCUCUUAUAC